GUGGGGAAUAUUGGACAAUGGGCGAAAGCCUGAUCCAGCCAUGCCGCGUGUGUGAAGAAGGUCUUCGGAUUGUAAAGCACUUUAAGUUGGGAGGAAGGGUUGUAGAUUAAUACUCUGCAAUUUUGACGUUACCGACAGAAUAAGCACCGGCUAACUCUGUGCCAGCAGCCGCGGUAAUACAGAGGGUGCAAGCGUUAAUCGGAAUUACUGGGCGUAAAGCGCGCGUAGGUGGUUAGUUAAGUUGGAUGUGAAAUCCCCGGGCUCAACCUGGGAACUGCAUUCAAAACUGACUGACUAGAGUAUGGUAGAGGGUGGUGGAAUUUCCUGUGUAGCGGUGAAAUGCGUAGAUAUAGGAAGGAACACCAGUGGCGAAGGCGACCACCUGGACUGAUACUGACACUGAGGUGCGAAAGCGUGGGGAGCAAACAGGAUUAGAAACCCGAGUAGUCC
RNAcentral lists this ribosomal RNA (450 nucleotides) under uncultured Pseudomonas sp. RNAcentral's name for it is "bacterial SSU rRNA". It matches the Rfam family "Bacterial small subunit ribosomal RNA", at positions 354 to 796 of the family's 1533-position model. The record is from RNAcentral. Lineage: Bacteria; Pseudomonadati; Pseudomonadota; Gammaproteobacteria; Pseudomonadales; Pseudomonadaceae.